RNAcentral lists this ribosomal RNA (250 nucleotides) under uncultured prokaryote. Its description in RNAcentral is "partial 16S ribosomal RNA". It matches the Rfam family "Bacterial small subunit ribosomal RNA", at positions 524 to 773 of the family's 1533-position model. The record is from RNAcentral.
UACGGAGGACGCGAGCGUUAUCCGGAUUCAUUGGGUUUAAAGGGUGCGCAGGCGGCCGGCCAAGUCAGCGGUGAAAGCCCGGGGCCCAACCCCGGAAGUGCCGUUGAUACUGGUUGGCUGGAAUGCGGUCGAGGCGGGCGGAACGUGGCGUGUAGCGGUGAAAUGCGUAGAUAUGCCACAGAACGCCGGUAGCGGAGGCAGCUCGCCAGGCCUGCAUUGACGCUCAGGCACGAAAGCGUGGGGAUCGAAC